CACUCACUCAAAAGGACACAUUCUGGACUUAAUCUGCUGCUCAGGUAUCAUACCCAUGGACUGUAAAUCAAACUUCAUCCCAUUUUUCCGAUCAUAUGCUUGUGACAUUUAAUGUCAAUUUGUUUCUUUCCAAACACAAACCUUCAUGCAAUAUUACCUUCCGAAAUGCUAAGGAUAUCAACCUGGAGAUUUUAUCUGCCCUGAUCAGUAAACUCCCAAAUACAGACAGUUUUACAGCUCCAGAUCAACUUGUUUCACACUACAACACACACCUGCACCACAUCCUCAACGCACUUGCUCCACUCAAAUCCAGAUCUGUCUCAUUUACCUAUACUGCACCCUGGUACACCCCCACUCUCAGACAGUUAAAAGCAAAAGGUCGCCAACUUGAAAGACUCUACGCCAAAACCGGACUAACUAUCCAGAAAGACAUGUACACACAGCACAUUCUCCACUAUAAAGAGUGCAUCUCCAAAACCAAAUCUGCCUACUACUCCAAUCUAAUCAAUUCAAAAAAAGAAAAUUCAAAGAUUCUUUUCUCCCUCAUCUCUAACAUCACCAAACCUCCUGACUCCCUUCCAUCAUAUCUCUAUUCAACUGAUUUCUGCAACACCUUGGCUUCAUUUUUCACCACAAAAAUCCACCUUAUCCAUCAACAGCUUUCCCCCAACUCUGCUCCAUUUCUGUCUUCCAUUCCGUCUUUUACUUUUGAUGAUUCGUUUUCUUCAUUUACCCUACCCACAGUUAGUCAAAUAUCUACAUUUAUUAAAAAAUCCAAACCUUCCACAUGCCAGCUUGACCCACUGCCCACCAUCCUUGUUAAAGCUACUGCUCCCUCUCUUUGUCCUCUCAUCACCAACAUAAUCCAUGCUUCCCUCACCUCUGGAAUUGUUCCUCCUGCACUGAAAACUGCUGCUGUCAAUCCCAUACUUAAAAAAUUGGGUGCAGAUCCCACAGACCUCAACAAUUACCGUCCCAUUUCCAACCUUCCAUUCAUUUCAAAAAU
This 1006-nucleotide long non-coding RNA is filed under the name Oryzias sinensis (Chinese medaka). RNAcentral's name for it is "lncRNA (ENSOSIG00000009616.1)". Lineage: Eukaryota; Metazoa; Chordata; Actinopteri; Beloniformes; Adrianichthyidae. The record is from RNAcentral.